Molecule: long non-coding RNA, 590 nt
Filed under: Mus spicilegus (steppe mouse)
Lineage: Eukaryota; Metazoa; Chordata; Mammalia; Rodentia; Muridae
Description: lncRNA (ENSMSIG00000026493.1)
Source: RNAcentral
GAGAGAGAGAGANNNNNNNNNNCUGAGACUCAGCCCACAGAACUGACUGCUGUUGCCAAUAACAGCAGGACAGACAGUGAGAAUGGACAGAUGGAACUCAGGGGAGCAUGAUGCUCUCUCUCUUUUCUCUCUUUAAAGGACUCAACCACAGCUCCAAAUUGAACUGGGAAGCAGAUCUGAACGUUUGAGGUUGGUUGGCCUCAUUUUAAUCACGAGCCUAAUAAUCUGUCAUCAUUUAAAGGCCAUUUCCUCCACACCUGCAUCCAGAGUGCAUCCAGAGGCUGAGGUUUCGAGGGAGAAUCCCACAGAGUCUCCUCUCUGCUGCCUCUCAGCCACGUGUUCCACGUGCAGCCAUGCACGGCUUGCAGGUUGCUUUUUGUCUGGAUAUUUUAUUUCAGCAACAGAAGUGAAACCAGAACGGAGCUGGUGUGGAGAAAGUGGUCUGCUAGCUGCGGGAGAGACUCACUGCAGAGUGAGCUACUCUAGGCAGCUAACUGCUGGCAGCUGUACGCCCUGGAGCUAUGGAGGUAAAUAGGCCUCUUCCUCACCCAGCUUCAUCCGUCAAAGCACUCUCUGUUGAUGAAGGCUAC